Molecule: long non-coding RNA, 467 nt
Filed under: Equus caballus (horse)
Lineage: Eukaryota; Metazoa; Chordata; Mammalia; Perissodactyla; Equidae
Description: lncRNA (ENSECAG00000059681.1)
Source: RNAcentral
GACCCCUGGGCUAACAGCCCAAGGGACACACCUCAAUGGCCCCCACCUGUGUCCAUAUCAGCACGCCUGGACCAGCUCAGAGCAACGGCCCCCACCAAUGUCUCAGUCUCCAGAGAGGAUCCUCCUCUCACCAAGAUUCCCCCAGAGCCCACCAGGAACUAUGAGUCCACAAACGGUCUCAGAUAUUGGAACACAAAGACCAUGACAACUUUUGUUACAAUGGCUCAUGAGAGGCCUAGUUUCAACAGAACCAGAUCUUUUUCAUUGAGAUUUUAAAAACACUUUAAGAGGAAUGUGUGCUUUAUCCUCCACCCUUUGAAUCUCUGCCUUAAAAUGUUUGAAGGUCGCUGUCAUAUCUCUGGAAAUCUUUUCUUCUCCAGGAUAAUAUCUACUGUUCUUUCAAUCAUUCUUAAAUAUUAUGAAUGAAAAUUCAAAAGAAGACCUAGUUUACAUGUUCAUAAACACGU